AUGCCGCACCUCGCGCCACGGAUCGCGGCCACCGCCCGAGAUCUGAUUUGCCAGCCGCCGUCGCGCCAUGAGAGCCAGAUCCCCACGCCUGCGUCCGCGCACCGCACAUGCGCCCCCGUGCCGUCCCCACACGCCGUGCAGCCCCAGCGCAAGCUCGCCACGGCAACCACGCGCUCCCACGGCGGAAGCCCCGCAACGCCCGAGCACCGUGAGAGGAAAAACCAAGUGCCCCGCCGCUGCCGACGCUGCGCGGGCUUUGCCCGGCGGCGCCUGCUGGCGGCGGCGAGGGGAGGGAGAUCUGGCGAGGAGGGAGCUCGCCCGGCGGCUAGGGUUCCGCCCGGGUCGCCCGCGACACGGGGGACGGACGGGGGACGGCGGCUAGGAACCGUACAUACUAUGGAUUUUAUUGUGUAA
RNAcentral lists this ribosomal RNA (414 nucleotides) under Triticum aestivum (bread wheat). RNAcentral describes it as "partial small subunit ribosomal RNA". The record is from RNAcentral. Lineage: Eukaryota; Viridiplantae; Streptophyta; Magnoliopsida; Poales; Poaceae.